GAUGAAGAACGUAGCGAAAUGCGAUAAGUGAUGCGAAUUGCAGAAUUUCCGUGAGUCAUCGAAUCUUUGAACGCACAUUGCGCCCACUGGUAUUCCGGUGGGCAUGCCUGUUCGAGCGUCAUUAUCCUCCCUCAAACCUCGGGUUUGGUGUUGGACCCAAGUUGUGUGAACAACUGGUCUUAAAGACAAUGACGGCGUCCGUGGGACCCUCGGUGCAACGAGCUUUUAGGAGCACGCGUCGAGUUUCAAGGACCUUCCGGGCCGGUCUCCUUUACCAUUUUACAAGGUUGACCUCGGAUCAGGUAGGAAUACCCGCUGAACUUAAGCAUAUCAAUAAGCGGAGGA
This 345-nucleotide unclassified non-coding RNA is filed under the name soil metagenome. RNAcentral describes it as "partial contains 5.8S ribosomal RNA, internal transcribed spacer 2, and large subunit ribosomal RNA". The stretch from base 1 to 121 matches the Rfam family "5.8S ribosomal RNA", at positions 35 to 154 of the family's 154-position model. The record is from RNAcentral.